Molecule: unclassified non-coding RNA, 273 nt
Filed under: fungal sp.
Lineage: Eukaryota; Fungi
Description: partial internal transcribed spacer region
Rfam family: Eukaryotic small subunit ribosomal RNA (bases 1-46)
Source: RNAcentral
AAGUCGUAACAAGGUUUCCGUAGGUGAACCUGCGGAAGGAUCAUUAGCGAAGUCCGGAACGCCUGUUCGGUGCUGAUGCUGCCCAGCAAUGGGACGUGCUCGCCCGGCUUGCGUCCCUUCUCUAUUCCACCCCACUGUGAACCAAGCGUUGCGAGCAGAAGAGAGAUCGGAAGCUCGCACGCAAACCUUUAACAUACCCCUAAUGAAGUAUCAGAAUGUACCUUGCGUUAACUCGCACAAAUACAACUUUCAACAACGGAUCUCUUGGCUCUC